RNAcentral lists this ribosomal RNA (406 nucleotides) under uncultured bacterium. RNAcentral describes it as "partial 16S ribosomal RNA". It matches the Rfam family "Bacterial small subunit ribosomal RNA", at positions 29 to 526 of the family's 1533-position model. The record is from RNAcentral.
AUUGAACGCUGGCGGCAGGCCUAACACAUGCAAGUCGAACGAGUGGCGGACGGGUGAGUAAUGUCUGGGAAACUGCCUGAUGGAGGGGGAUAACUACUGGAAACGGUAGCUAAUACCGCAUACCAUCGGAUGUGCCCAGAUGGGAUUAGCUAGUAGGUGGGGUAAAGGCUCACCUAGGCGACGAUCCCUAGCUGGUCUGAGAGGAUGACCAGUGACACGGGAAGGUAGAAAGUGUCGAGACCCCUUCGGGAGGCAGGAGUGGGGAAAAUUGAACAAUGGGCGCAAGCCUUAUGCAGCCAUGCCGCGUGUAUGAAGAAGGACUGCGGGUUGUAAAGUACUUGCAGCGGGGAGGCGUUACCAGCAGAAGAAGCACCGGCUAACUCCGUGCCAGCAGCCGCGGUAAUAC